This is a long non-coding RNA of Hevea brasiliensis (rubber tree), 3887 nucleotides long. RefSeq lists it as uncharacterized. The record is from RefSeq and is a predicted model, not a curated record. Lineage: Eukaryota; Viridiplantae; Streptophyta; Magnoliopsida; Malpighiales; Euphorbiaceae. The transcript is spliced from 2 exons.
CGCGCUUUCAAUCUAAAAUGCCUAUAGGAUGGAGAAAGGAAAGUGAAAGUGUGAAACAAUUUGGUGUUACUCUUACUCUUCUUAAUGCAAACAUACCUAUAUACUACCGUACAAAGACGAAUUUGAAUAUAUUUUGGGGUGUUCUCAAGCAUUGUACUUCAUGUUGUCGUAUGGCAAGGUGGGGAUAUCUUCAGAAAGGUUUUCAAAUUGUCAAGCAAGAUUAUAAAUACUAGAUAUUUGAAAUAUUCAACUUUUGAAAACAAAGUUUGAGUAGCUUCUGUAGCCUUCUUGUGAAACUUGGAGUAUAUUAGAAAAUAGGGGGAAAAUAUAGUUAUCUAUUUAGUAUUUGCAGGGAGGUUAAGGCAUCUUCCUCCCACAUGCUGUAAGGGCAUUUUCUUUUAAAAUAAAAUUUUCACCAGUGUCAUGAGAAAGCUAUUGCCUUUUGAAAUAUUCUUUGGCCAGGUGCAAGUAUUGCCAAAGGGUCAUAAGCAGAUUUUCUUUGCACAAAAACUUCCCAUUGUGGACCAAAGUGGGCUUGCCACUCUUCCUGUGUAGUGUAGUGAGGCAGAUAUUGCUUGACACCAAGACGGGCUGUGCCACAAAAUUCUAGGAUUCGCCUGUUCUGAGUUAGGAUAUGUUCUAAGCCAUCACUUCCUCUUGAAGAGGGAACGGCAGAGGAAAGGAAUGCCACCAAAUAGAAAAUAUCUUCUUCUGGAAUAACAGCAGAAGUUCUGUUGUCCCACCUGAAAUUGGAAUCAAUGAAUUAAUCAUUCAAAAAAAGCUACAGGAAUUUACUGAAAUAAAAUGAUCUUUGUUGAACUGUUACUUUGAUUUGUUGACUGGGUAGAUGAGGAUGGGCCCAUUACUGGUGUCUGUAAGGAUAUUUCCAAAGAUUUCUUCAGCAAAAUUGUGAAUUUUGCUUUUGGGGACAAGAAGAUUUAGCCAUGGAUGUGAAACUUCCCACAAGCCUUUGGACCGUAGUUUGAUCUCAGACACAUGAACCCUAUCCAAGAAUUCCAUGUAUGGAACUUCUGAUAGAAAAAGUGUUGAUGGGAUAUAUCUUAAUUGAGACAACAAGUUCAUUACUUCCUGCAACAUAAAAAAAAUAUACAAGUGUCCUUUUAUUAAUUUAAUUUAAUUUAUUAAUUUGUGUAUUACGUAUUUAUAAUUUAUUAAUCAAUUUAGUUAAAUAAUUUAGAAAACGACCAGAUGGUGGGCUAUUGCUUCUAACCUUAUUUAUUACAUCUUUCUUGUCUGUGUUGAAGUAUUUGGCCAAUUCUAAGCAGAAUAGUGUUCUUCCAUCUGAUUCAAACCGGCUAGCUUGUAAUGGGUCAUGAGGAUUAAAGGAUGACCUCCAGUUAUUUAAGAGACCAGUCCUGUUAAUGAUCACAAAUCCUUCAAUGUAGUCAAACGUGUUUUCUGCAGAUAUUAGAAGCUCCUGGUCUCUGGCAAAUUUGCUGAAGUCUGAGUAGAGCACUCUAAUCCAUUUCACCUAUUCGAAAUACAGAAUUCUGUUAUUAGAAGUAAAACUUUUAACUAAACUGAGAGCAAUUAUUUCCUUUUCUUUGUACUAAUUAAUUAAUUAAUACUCCCAAUGGUCAUGCUUUUUACCAUAUCAUGUGCUGGUUCUAAUGAUAUUCUUGCCCUUGUUAUGAUGCCAAACUGACCAAGUCCUCCAAGAACACUGUGGAAUAGGUCACCAUUCUGAUUCUCUGAGCAAUUCACUAUCUCUCCUUUCCCUACACUUAGUUUCAUUCUAUUUUAUGUUAGAAUUUAUGCUAUGCACAGGAUUUAUGUCUUUGUUAUAUAUGCAUGCAUACAGGCAUUUAUACACACACAAACAUAAACAAACACACAAACACUCUCUCUCUCAACUCAACUCAACUCAACUAAACUAAGCCUUUAUCCCAAGAACACACACUCUCUCUCUCUAAUGGAAAUAUAUACAGUGACCAGUGGUUGAAAUAUAUUCUAAUGGAACCAAGGUCUAGGACAACAUGCCUAACUAGGAAACCUGCCAAUGUCAUGGAUAUAGUCCAUUUGAUCUUGGUUUCAUUACUAAUUAUGCAAAUCAUCCCUUGAUGUGUGCGUGUGUGAGUGUGUGUGUGUGUGUGUGUUAUGUAUUAUCACCAUUUCAUAUGCCCACAAUUUACUUUUGACUAACCUGUAACAACUUCCAGCUGAUAGACAUUACUUAUUUGUGGGCCAUGCUGAAAUGCCUGCCCGCUAAUCCCAGCAUUGGAUAAAGUACCACCAACUGUUAAAUAUAGGUAGUCUGUCCAUGAUUUUGGUGCUAACCCGUAUUUCAGGCUUUCAUGCAGGAUAUUUAUCCAUAACUCACCACCUGAGACAUCCACAUAUGGAUAAUUUCCAGCAUGAACAUGCAUUUUUGGGCCUUGGAGAGAUUCCAUGUUGAUGACAACUCCUUGGUGGGCUUGUGCCUGACCUUGGAGCGAGUGGCUGUGGCCUCUGGCUGCAACUGUGAGCUGUGAAUGAGAACCCAUCUGCCAAAUAUGUUUUAUUGUAGUGGCAAUGUCAGAAACUGACUUUGGAUGUAGCACUGCAAAAGGGAGCAACUGAAACAUGUUGCCGAAGUCUUUGGCUGCACGGUGAACAUCAUCAAAAAUUAAAUGUCCAUCAAUGGAAAGUGUUCUCAAUGAAGAAUGGUCGCUGGAAAAACACAGGUUUAUUCUUAUAGUCAUGAAGCUUAGGAGUAAGAUCAUGAAACUUCUUGUGAAAAGCAUAUUAUUUUGUUUGUGGAAGAUAGCGGGUGGGCAUCUCAUCUUGUGGUUGGAAAAAUUGGAGGGAGCUGAGGGCAAAAGGUGUUUAAGCUGGUAUUAGUUGUUUCUUUGUAAGCAAAAGCAAAAGGAGAGUUGUGGAAGAGACAGGGAAAUGAAUGGCUGAGAAGAGAAUUUAAAGGUGAAGAUUUGGGUGCUGAGUCAACUAAACCAAUAUUCAGUUUUGAGAAUUCGUAUGAAGACUGCCUAACUGUUGCAAGAGUUUUAGGAUUUUACCUUUGGUUCUCUUUUUUGGGGAAUUAUUAUUUAUAAGAGAAACCAUCAAACAUAUGCCAAAGUUGAAUAGAAAAAGUCGCAAGAAAGAAAGAUUUCAUAAAUCUUUACAAUUUUUUCAAGCAGCAGCAACCACAAUCCCAUCUCCAUCACAGAUUUUUUUUUUUAAAAAAAAAGGUCUCCAAAGUUUUUAUCCUCAGCGUGUUAUGGAUGCUUAUCCUAUGUUUGGAAAAAGUAGAUGGCUUUGCCAUUAGGCGUAUCUCUGCCUACAGUGUCAAGUACGCUCAUACCCAAGUCUUGCAAACUUAAAUGAUGAUCAAUUAUGUUCUUGAAUCCAUAGCUGUAGGAAUGUGAGCAUAGCGUAUCUACCCUGAGAUCAGAUCAGAGGGACUUUUGGGGCCUCUCCUUUGAUUUAUUUGACAGGGUGAUGCCCAGUUAGGGUGUCGAUGGGUCCAUAGUGCACGUGAAAUUCAAAUGCUUGUAUGCUUUAUUGGGUGAAGGAUUAUGAUUGGCUAUGUUGGGACCCCUUUGGGCCACUGUGAAGGGUAAGAGGGAGAGGAGCGGGAGAUGGGGAUGACAGCUUGGAGGAAGCACUGAAAGACUUCUCUUCCUCCUAUCUGCAACUAAUUGUUUUGAAGCCUUAGUUCCCAGCAAUUGGACAAAAUCUGUAUGAUUCUCUUGUUUAUGUGUUCCCAAGUCCAACUAUUUGUCGUUUAACCUUUUUGUAACAAGUUGCGCCAAGUGUAGCUGAUGGCAUCAACUAAACUGUACUUGUUCAUGAAAUUUGGGUUUGUAAAGUUUCAGACCCUAGAAUUGUCCUAUAGGACAAGUGGAGGAGUAACUUCUACGAUUGGUCCAUAUCUUUUUGAUGAUCAA